UGAGCUGUCGACUAAUGGUAAGUCACUUAGGUUUGAGCUAAGCUAUUGGUAGUUCGAAUCUACCCGGUUCAA
Molecule: transfer RNA, 72 nt
Organism: Babjeviella inositovora NRRL Y-12698
Lineage: Eukaryota; Fungi; Ascomycota; Pichiomycetes; Serinales
Rfam family: tRNA
About the family: Transfer RNA (tRNA) molecules are approximately 80 nucleotides in length.
Source: Rfam